UACGGGGGGAGCAAGCGUUGUUCGGAUUUACUGGGCGUAAAGGGCGCGUAGGCGGCGCAACAAGUCACUUGUGAAAUCUCCGGGCUUAACUCGGAAAGGUCAAGUGAUACUGUUAUGCUAGAGUGCGGAAGGGGCAACUGGAAUUCUCGGUGUAGCGGUGAAAUGCGUAGAUAUCGAGAGGAACACCUGCGGCGAAGGCGGGUUGCUGGGCCGACACUGACGCUGAUGCGCGAAAGCCAGGGGAGCGAACGGG
This 253-nucleotide ribosomal RNA is filed under the name uncultured bacterium. RNAcentral's name for it is "partial 16S ribosomal RNA". It matches the Rfam family "Bacterial small subunit ribosomal RNA", at positions 524 to 776 of the family's 1533-position model. The record is from RNAcentral.